Molecule: ribosomal RNA, 253 nt
Filed under: uncultured bacterium
Lineage: Bacteria
Description: partial 16S ribosomal RNA
Rfam family: Bacterial small subunit ribosomal RNA
Source: RNAcentral
CACGUAGGGGGCAAGCGUUGUCCGGAAUCAUUGGGCGUAAAGAGCGUGUAGGCGGUCCGGUAAGUCGGCUGUGAAAGUCCAGGGCUCAACCCUGGGAUGCCGGUCGAUACUGCCGGACUAGAGUUCGGAAGAGGCGAGUGGAAUUCCCGGUGUAGCGGUGAAAUGCGCAGAUAUCGGGAGGAACACCUAUGGCGAAGGCAGCUCGCUGGGACGUUACUGACGCUGAGACGCGAAAGCGUGGGGAGCAAACAGG